Hemiscyllium ocellatum (epaulette shark) is the source of this 177-nucleotide long non-coding RNA. RefSeq lists it as uncharacterized. Lineage: Eukaryota; Metazoa; Chordata; Chondrichthyes; Orectolobiformes; Hemiscylliidae. The transcript has 3 exons. The record is from RefSeq and is a predicted model, not a curated record.
UCCGGAGAGGUCGCCAGGCCUGAGCGCCCGGGGAGAGGGGACAGUAAUAAGGUGAAAGGGAAUAAUGGACAAAGCACUGAAAACAACGCUGACUCUAAUUCAGCAAAGUAUUUGAAGAUCUGAAGACUGAAGUUUAAAAAUCAACAGAUGAAGGGCCUAUGCCUGAAUUGUCGAUUC